CCAACUUUUAAUUAUUACCGCAAUCACUAUCACCACAGUUGCCACCACUACGAAAGCGAUAGCUCCAAGCGCUAUCGAGUUUAGAUGGACAGUGCACCAGACCGUCGCACCAAAGCUUUGAGCUUAUACAAGCUCCCAACUCUGGACAACUGAAAUGAAAACCGAUAUUAAAACUAAUAAUAAACUAAUAACAAUUCUAUUCAGUUUAAAACCAAUAAAGCAAAAAUGCCUGUAAAUGGGCGAUAGGUAAGUUCAUUGUAGGUAGAGAGAAGCGUAUGAAUAAAUGUGAGACAGAAUUUGG
Molecule: long non-coding RNA, 301 nt
Organism: Dendroctonus ponderosae (mountain pine beetle)
Lineage: Eukaryota; Metazoa; Arthropoda; Insecta; Coleoptera; Curculionidae
Exons: 2
Source: RefSeq, a predicted model, not a curated record